GACAGAGGGUGCAAACGUUGUUCGGAAUCACUGGGCGUAAAGCGCGUGUAGGCGGCAGUGCAAGUCGGAUGUGAAAUCCCGCGGCUCAACCGUGGAAGUGCACCCGAAACUGCACAGCUAGAGUGUCGGAGAGGAAGGUGGAAUGCUUGGUGUAGAGGUGAAAUUCGUAGAUAUCAAGCGGAACACCGGUGGCGAAGGCGGCCUUCUGGACGACGACUGACGCUGAGACGCGAAAGCGUGGGUAGCAAACAGG
RNAcentral lists this ribosomal RNA (253 nucleotides) under uncultured bacterium. RNAcentral's name for it is "partial 16S ribosomal RNA". It matches the Rfam family "Bacterial small subunit ribosomal RNA", at positions 524 to 776 of the family's 1533-position model. The record is from RNAcentral.